Molecule: long non-coding RNA, 4077 nt
Filed under: Daucus carota (carrot)
Lineage: Eukaryota; Viridiplantae; Streptophyta; Magnoliopsida; Apiales; Apiaceae
Description: long non-coding RNA (DCAR_LNC006545)
Source: RNAcentral
GCAUUUCCACCCUAAAAGGCCACUCUUUCUAUGUAUUUUCACUCAUUCUUGUCAGGAAACACCUCUACAGCGGCUCAUCCGAUAGCCAAUUACGCGUAUGAUCCCGAGCUCCAUCAGAUCAUCACAAUUCAAAUGAAAACAUUGCGUCUGUUGUCUGCAUGCAAGAGUACAGUUAAGUGCAAAAGAAAAGAAAUGUUAAUAUCAUGUGAUGCUAAUUUAGGCAUUUAGCAACAAGAUGGGUUUGAAUGUGGGCUUUUACUUUUGAGUACGGAAGUGGGCUUGGGUUAUGCAUCAGAAAAAUAUGUUCUGUCCUUAUUUCAUUGUAUUUCUUUAAAACCUGUUAAAACCAUAAAUUCAUAUAUUACACUUAUUUUAUAUUCAUUAUCUCAUUUUUUCUAUUAAAAUAAAAUAAAAAAAAACGUAUUGAUCAACCAAGCUCAUAUCAAAUCGAAUAGAUCAUCUGAUUACACUAAUCAUAUUUUUACUUAAUUAUUACCGGAUUAAAUUGAACGAUAUUUUUAUGCAUACACGAUAUCACUAAAGCCAUGGGACCUGCCUGGUGCCUCUUGCCAACUUGCAUUGCUUUUAAAAGCAAGCUUUAUAUUAGUGUUGCGCAAUCCCCUUGUGUACAAGCUAUCUUAUUGCGUUGGUUUUUGUCGGAAGAGGGACCAUGUUCCAUGCAGGAGUUAGAGAAAUGGACUGUGAUGUUUAACGCGCAGAGCUACAUCUAAAUGCUAUAAACUGAAAUAUAAACUGAACCAUUUAUAUGCAUGGACCGAUCGAGUGAGAGGUACGGGAAACACAUGUCUUUUUAAAAAAUAUUUAACAUAUUUAACAUAUUUUAAAUUUUGUAAGAUUUCUGAAAAAAUAUAAAAAUAUAAAUAAUUUUAAAAAUUUGUUUGUUGACCUUCAAAAAUGUCCUCCUAAAUCCGCCAUUUGCCACCGACUGUCUGCCCACUAAAUUACACUGGUUAUGAGUUAUGACAUGUAUCCAGACAUCAACGGUUUAGUUAGGUGAGUGUUGAUAACAUUAUAUAUGGGAAAAGUUAAAAAAAUCAAAUAAUUAAUCAUAUUCGGGAAUCAUGCAUAUAUUUUAUUGAUUUUUCAGCAUUUAUUUUAAGUCAAAACUGAUAAUUAUAAAUUUGAACUGUUAUCUACAUAAUUAAUUAUACUGUUAUUGUAAAUAUUCGUGAAUAAAUUAGAUAUAUCACUCAAUGGAUAACCUUGGAAUAAACAAAUACUCCAGUUAUGACUUAUUUAGCAAAUUAAAUAAAAGAAUUUAAUAUGAAGAAAUAAUUGAACCAAAUCAACAAUAAGUCAACUAUCUAUCAUGCUCCUGGAUGUCAAAUUUAGAGCCUUAAUACUGCAAUUUUCUAAUAUUAUAACAGUACUAUUAAAAUUAAUCUUAAAAUGAGUGAGAAGACAUUAGCAAGACAGUAGACACCUAACUGGGACAGAAUUUUUUCUGAUUCGAGAAAGGUUGGAAACUUGGAGUCUCCUUCCUGCUAUCAUUGUUCUUCCGUGGAAACUUCAUGAAUACAAAACAAAAAUAAAAAAUAAAAGUAAAAUAAAAUCACCAUCAGCUUUUUCUUUUUGUUUCACAGCUAGUUUAGAAGAUAAACUGGGACCAUUUGUCUCAUCAUUUAUUCUGUUACAUCUUAUCAAAACACCCAAUUGCACCUUCAAGUUGCUGCUAUUUCAAAAUUAAUUAAAAGCAAUAUAAAAAGAUAUCUAAAAGAUAUUUAGAUAUUAUUUUAAGUUAUCCUCAAAUCCUACUGUCGGGGUCCCUUUAUUUAAUUUCCAGCUUUUAUUGUUUUUUUUUUCUAACUUUUAACAUCUUAUAAAUCUUCUCGAAUUCUCCUGAACAAAUUUUGAGUGUAUUUGGAGUCGUAUUUAAUGUUUGAUAAAGAGUCCAUUUUGUAAAUUAUUUGAUUUUUUUGGGAAAACUAACUUGAUAUUUGCCCCUUUGUUUAGGAGUAGCACCUUGUGCUUCCAUUUUUGCUUUUCCUAACUCCGUUUGUAUAAACAAGUAAAUGCAUUUUUAAGAUAUUACCUCCGCGCUGAUUUAGACACCUUUUUACUAAUUUUACACAUAUUAUGAAAUUUAAAAUGAUUAUGUAUAUCCAUAUUUAUUGUUUUAAUUUUUUAGUAUCCGAUAGAUGAUACUUGAAAAUGAUAAAUAAGAAGGGAUAAUUCCGAGAAAUUGUUGAUAAAUAUAUAUCAAAAAAGGUGAAGUUCAACUAAUUUGAUAUAAAAAAUAUUGUCAAAAAUUUCAUCUAAAUUGGAGCACAAAGAAAGACUAACUUCUUUCUUAACAAAAUACACAUCAUAAAUUUUUUCCAAAUUUAAUUUUAAAUAAUAACAAUAUUAAUUCUCGAAUCACCUAUAAACACGUGUAAAAAAUAAAAUGCCUUAAUAGAAGUACAGAACCCGGAGAGAAUUUGUUUUUCUUACUAGGUUACUAUCAAGUAUCUACUGUGCAGGUUGUGAACCUACCAGAUUAGCCUCGGUGAUUUAGGUGGUGGGCAGGACAUUUAUAAGUCGACUUCUGGUUUAUAAGUUAUAAGCACUUAUUUGUACCGUUUGUGUAAAAAGUCAAGAAACACUUAAAAGAAGUUAGGAUUCCUAACUUUUGUUUCAGGAUUUCUGCUUAUUUCCCAAACAGUUUAAUCACUUAUAUGUCUUAACUUGCUUCUGACUUCCACUCUACUUUUUUAUUUUAAACAAAAAACACUUAUUUUAAGUUUACCCAAACGACCUCUUAUUAGCCCAGGCCCAUAGUUUUGCAGCAACCAAAAGUAUUGAAUAAGUUGCAAGUUGCAUGAUGAUCGAUGCAUGCAUCGGCUCUAUUAUUGCAAUUAUUUCAAAAAGCUAUGGUUCCGAAACAAGGGUACAGACGUACAGUGGAUACUAGACUCUGAUUAAAAAAACUUAUCCUCCGUUUCUCUUCUGGCAUCCAAUUAACAAGUCUUGACCAUUGCAAACUCACUCCACACGUUCAUACAAGUUGCAAUCCCCUCUUUUUCCACCUAAAUUCCUUUCUUCAGAUUCAACGGUCCAUGUUUAUACUACUUAUUUGCUAACCAAGUCCUCCUAUUUCCUAUUCCUAAUUACGAAUUACGGUGGAAUCACGCCCGAAUCUGAUCCGAUUUCAAUUCGACACAAAUUAAUUUGAAUAAAAAAGUUUAAAAUUUUGAGGAAAAAGUUUUGUGACCACAAUUUUUAAAGUAUCAAUCAAAACUUUAGAUUUCGCAAAAAUAUCCAAUAUAUUACAUAAUUCAGGCUUUUGAUUUUUUGAAAAAAAAGAAGAUAUUAUUUUGUGAAAUUGUGUUCAAGACCUUAAAACGUCAGAUAAUUUGAUGUAAAAAGAGAAAGAUAGAUAAACGUUUUCAUCUAAUAUUUUAAAUUACAAAUUAAUAUUUAGGACCAUCUUUUAUGGUAAUAAUAUCUGAAAUUUUAAUUAUGAAAAAAGUGAUAAAUUGAACAAAAACUUUCGAACACGAGUCCUCCGAUCCAAUUUCAAAUCAACCCCGCACUCGAAACUGCUUUGUCCCUUGCUCACCAUUUUUCUUUAUUCGUUAUUGUUUUCCAGCUAAGGUGAUGACCUCCUCCUUUCACUAAUCCUAUAUAAACAAGUACAAACCAGGAAUUCUCAAACCUCAUCAAACACUUUGCAAAAAAAUUCUCAACUUUCCAAAUGGGAAUUCAUCCAUUUCCUCUCUCUCAUACAUAUGAUCAAGAAUCUACUGAUCUUACUUCAGAUUCAUCAAUGAACUCCUCUAUUUCAUCUCAACCAAGUUUACCUCUAGUCCCAUCUCUAAACAAACUAUCCCAAGAACAAUCAAACAUCCACCACCACUGCAUUUCCACCCUAAAAGGCCACUCUUCCUAUGUAUUUUCACUCACUCUUUCCGGAAAACACCUCUACNUACAGCGGCUCAUCCGAUAGCCAAUUACGCGUGUGGUCCCGGGCUCCAUCAGAUCAUCAGAAUUCAGAUGAAAACAUUGUGUCUGCAUGCAAGAGUGCAGUUAAGUGCAUAGUAGUACUAGAUGACAAGAUAUUCAGUGCUCACCAGG